RNAcentral lists this ribosomal RNA (500 nucleotides) under uncultured bacterium. Its description in RNAcentral is "bacterial SSU rRNA". It matches the Rfam family "Bacterial small subunit ribosomal RNA", at positions 28 to 521 of the family's 1533-position model. The record is from RNAcentral.
GACGAACGCUGGCGGCGUGGAUUAGGCAUGCAAGUCGAACGGUAUCAUCCUUUCGGGGGUGAGAGAGUGGCGAACUGGUGAGUAACACGUAGGUUAUCUACCCUCAAGACGGGGACAACCCAGGGAAACUUGGGCUAAUACCGGAUGUGAGCAACUUUUAGUUGUUUGAAAGGUGGCGUAAGCUGUCGCUUGGGGAUGAGCCUGCGUCCUAUUAGUUAGUUGGUGAGGUAACGGCUCACCUAGGCAAUGAUAGGUAGGCGGCCUUAACGGGUGGUCGCCCACACUGGGAUUGAGAUACGGCCCAGACUCCUACGGGAGGCAGCAGUCGAGAAUAGUCUACAAUGGUCGGAAGACUGAUAGUGCGACGCCGCGUGAACGAUGAAUCCCUUCGGGGUGUAAAGUUCUUUUAUAUGUGAGCAGUGCUUCUUAUAUUAACAGUAUGGGGAGAGAGAUAUAGCAUAUGAAUAAGCAACGGCUAACUCCGUGCCAGCAGCCGCGGU